CAUCCCAACCAGUACUAGCCAGCAAACCCUCAACAAGAACACUCAUAUCCAACCCAACUGCGAAUUCUGUGUGGUGAUCAUACCUCCCAACCAAUGCAUCCUCCACCAUGAAAUCCCACAUACACACUGUCAUGUCAUAAGAGCAAGAAACCAUCAAAUUCCUAUGGUGCGGCGAAAACUUCACUUUCCUAACCGCAUAUCCAUGCCCAUUUAACACAGCAAUUGGUGCCCUGUAGCUCCUCACAUCCCACACCCUAAUGCUCUUAUCCACCGACGCCGUCGCUAUAAGACAAUCAUCAUACUUGUUCCAAUCGCAAGACAAAAUUUCGAAAUCGUGCCCUGGAAUUAUCAUCGUUGAACCCGGUUCACGGACAUCCCAAAUUCUGACCGUACAAUCGCCGGAAGCGGAAGCAAAAACAUCGGUGUGCCUAGGGUUCCAGGCAGCGGAGUAGACGCAAUAGGCGUGUUCUUUGAAUGUGCGUAUACUAGCGGGACGGUCGAGAGUCCAGAGCUUGAUGGUGUCAUCCCAAGAGGAAGUGAUGAAGGAAUCUCGCCGAGUGGGAUUGUAGUCAACGGAGUGGACUUCGCGGGUGUGCUCUUGGAGGGAUCUGAGAGGGUUCUGCGUUGGAGGAAGAGCG
Molecule: unclassified non-coding RNA, 638 nt
Filed under: Hevea brasiliensis (rubber tree)
Lineage: Eukaryota; Viridiplantae; Streptophyta; Magnoliopsida; Malpighiales; Euphorbiaceae
Source: RNAcentral